ACCAGACUCCUACGGGAGGCAGCAGUUGGGAAUAUUGGACAAUGGAGGAAACUCUGAUCCAGUGACGCCGCGUGAAGGAAGAAGGUCUUCGGAUUGUAAACUUAUUUUGUCAGGGAAGAAAAAAAUGACUGUACCUGAAGAAAAAGCACCGGCUAACUACGUGCCAGCAGCCGCGGUAAUACGUAGGGUGCAAGCGUUAUCCGGAUUUACUGGGUGUAAAGGGCGAGUAGACGGCGUUGCAAGUCAGAUGUGAAAACCUAGGGCUCAACCGUAGGACUGCAUCUGAAACUGUAAUGCUAGAGUGCAGGAGAGGUAAGCGGAAUUCCUAGUGUAGCGGUGAAAUGCGUAGGUAUCAGGAGGAACACCGGCGGCGAAGGCGGCUUACUGGACGGCAACUGACGUUGAGGCCCGAAAGCGUGGGGAGCGAACAGGAUUAGAUACCCCGGUAA
Molecule: ribosomal RNA, 449 nt
Filed under: uncultured bacterium
Lineage: Bacteria
Description: bacterial SSU rRNA
Rfam family: Bacterial small subunit ribosomal RNA
Source: RNAcentral